RNAcentral lists this transfer RNA (72 nucleotides) under bacterium. RNAcentral's name for it is "tRNA-Met". It matches the Rfam family "tRNA". From Rfam's summary of the family: Transfer RNA (tRNA) molecules are approximately 80 nucleotides in length. Their secondary structure includes four short double-helical elements and three loops (D, anti-codon, and T loops). Further hydrogen bonds mediate the characteristic L-shaped molecular structure. tRNAs have two regions of fundamental functional importance: the anti-codon, which is responsible for specific mRNA codon recognition, and the 3' end, to which the tRNAs corresponding amino acid is attached (by aminoacyl-tRNA synthetases). tRNAs cope with the degeneracy of the genetic code in two manners: having more than one tRNA (with a specific anti-codon) for a particular amino acid; and 'wobble' base-pairing, i.e. permitting non-standard base-pairing at the 3rd anti-codon position. The record is from RNAcentral.
GGCUGAGUAGCUCAGCGGCAGAGCGGAGCCCUCAUAAAGCUUAGGUCGUGGGUUCGACUCCCACCUCAGCCA